RNAcentral lists this ribosomal RNA (255 nucleotides) under uncultured bacterium. RNAcentral's name for it is "partial 16S ribosomal RNA". It matches the Rfam family "Bacterial small subunit ribosomal RNA", at positions 524 to 776 of the family's 1533-position model. The record is from RNAcentral.
UACGUAGGGUGCAAGCGUUAAUCGGAAUUACUGGGCGUAAAGCGUGCGCAGGCGGUUUUGUAAGUCAGAUGUGAAAUCCCCGGGCUUAACCUGGGAACUGCGUUUGAAACUACAAGGCUAGAGUGUGGCAGGAGGGGGGUGGAAUUCCACGUGUAGCAGUGAAAUGCGUAGAGAUGUGGAGGAACACCGAUGGCGAAGGCAGCCCCCUGGGUUAACACUGACGCUCAGGCACGAAAGGCGUGGGGAGCGAACAGG